RNAcentral lists this ribosomal RNA (1102 nucleotides) under Lactiplantibacillus plantarum. RNAcentral's name for it is "Lactobacillus plantarum partial 23S ribosomal RNA". It matches the Rfam family "Bacterial large subunit ribosomal RNA", at positions 1 to 1094 of the family's 2925-position model. Lineage: Bacteria; Bacillati; Bacillota; Bacilli; Lactobacillales; Lactobacillaceae. The record is from RNAcentral.
UGAGGUUAAGUUAACAAGGGCGCAUGGUGAAUGCCUUGGCACUAGGAGCCGAUGAAGGACGGGACUAACACCGAUAUGCUUCGGGGAGCUGUACGUAAGCUAUGAUCCGGAGAUUUCCGAAUGGGGCAACCCAGCAGUUUUAAUCAACUGUUACCACUAGAUGAAUUCAUAGUCUAGUUGGAGGUAAACGCUGUGAACUGAAACAUCUCAUUAGCAGCAGGAAUAUAAAGAAAUUUCGAUUCCCUAAGUAGCGGCGAGCGAACGGGGAACAGCCCAAACCAAAGUGCUUGCACUUUGGGGUUGUAGGACUGAACAUUUGAGUUACCAAAGAACUUGAUAGUCGAAGGAUUUGGGAAAAUCCGCCAUAGAUGGUGAUAGCCCAGUAGAUUAAAUCAAAUUCUCUCAGUUCAGGAUCCUGAGUACGGCGGAACACGUGAAAUUCCGUCGGAAUCCGGGAGGACCAUCUCCCAAGGCUAAAUACUACCUAGUGACCGAUAGUGAACCAGUACCGUGAGGGAAAGGUGAAAAGCACCCCGGGAGGGGAGUGAAAUAGUUCCUGAAACCAUGUGCCUACAAUAAGUCAGAGCGCGUUAAUGCGUGAUGGCGUGCCUUUUGUAGAAUGAACCGGCGAGUUAUGAUCCCGUGCAAGGUUAAGACUAAAAAGUCGGAGCCGUAGCGAAAGCGAGUCUGAAAUGGGCGCUUUGAGUACGAGGUUAUAGACCCGAAACCAGGUGACCUAUCCAUGUCCAGGUUGAAGGUGCGGUAAAACGCACUGGAGGACCGAACCCGUGUAAGUUGAAAAUUGCUGGGAUGAGGUGUGGAUAGCGGUGAAAUUCCAAACGAACUUGGAGAUAGCUGGUUCUCUCCGAAAUAGCUUUAGGGCUAGCCUCGGAAUUAGGAUCAUGGAGGUAGAGCACUAUUUGGACUAGGGGCCCGUCUUGGGUUACUGAAUUCAGAUAAACUCCGAAUGCCAUUGAUUCAUAUCCGGGAGUCAGACGAUGAGUGAUAAGAUCCACCGUCGAAAGGGGAACAGCCCAGACCAUCAGUUAAGGUCCCUAAAUGUAUGCUAAGUGGAAAAGGAUGUGGAGUUGCAUAGACAACU